GAUGAACGCUAGCUACAGGCUUAACACAUGCAAGUCGAGGGGCAUCAGGAAGGAAGCUUGCUUUCUUCGCUGGCGACCGGCGCACGGGUGAGUAACACGUAUCCAACCUGCCGAUGACUCGGGGAUAGCCUUUCGAAAGAAAGAUUAAUACCCGAUGGCAUAGUUCUUCCGCAUGGUAGGACUAUUAAAGAAUUUCGGUCAUCGAUGGGGAUGCGUUCCAUUAGCUUGGUGGCGGGGUAACGGCCCACCAAGGCAUCGAUGGAUAGGGGUUCUGAGAGGAAGGUCCCCCACAUUGGAACUGAGACACGGUCCAA
RNAcentral lists this ribosomal RNA (314 nucleotides) under uncultured bacterium. Its description in RNAcentral is "bacterial SSU rRNA". It matches the Rfam family "Bacterial small subunit ribosomal RNA", at positions 28 to 334 of the family's 1533-position model. The record is from RNAcentral.